CAUGCCGUAAACGAUGAUUACUAGGUGUGGGGGGUCUGACCCCCUCCGUGCCGCAGUUAACACAAUAAGUAAUCCACCUGGGGAGUACGGCCGCAAGGUUGAAACUCAAAGGAAUUGACGGGGGCCCGCACAAGCAGUGGAGUAUGUUGUUUAAUUCGACGCAACGCGAAGAACCUUACCAGGUCUUGACAUCCUAUGAAUCCCCCAGAGACGGGGGAGUGCCCUUCGGGGAGCAUAGAGACAGGUGG
RNAcentral lists this ribosomal RNA (248 nucleotides) under uncultured Oscillospiraceae bacterium. Its description in RNAcentral is "partial 16S ribosomal RNA". It matches the Rfam family "Bacterial small subunit ribosomal RNA", at positions 796 to 1041 of the family's 1533-position model. Lineage: Bacteria; Bacillati; Bacillota; Clostridia; Eubacteriales; Oscillospiraceae. The record is from RNAcentral.